This 288-nucleotide long non-coding RNA is filed under the name Malus domestica (apple). RNAcentral describes it as "long non-coding RNA (MDOM_LNC020655)". The record is from RNAcentral. Lineage: Eukaryota; Viridiplantae; Streptophyta; Magnoliopsida; Rosales; Rosaceae.
GAAUAUAAACUUGUAACAAUUAGGUGAAACUCAUUUAUAUUCUAGCAUCUAAUUCAUGUAUGAAAACUAAGUAUUCAUCCUUAAUAAACAUACAAGAAUCAGUUAUGAAGAAAAUAGAUAAUUGAAUUGCAAUCAUAACUUAUCAAAUCACAAUUGGAAGAAAUCAAUUCAUAUCACAAGCAUGUUCAUGGCUUCAAACUUCCCCCUAACUAAAUAGGAGUUUAGUUCCUCAUGUUCACAAAACAAAGAUAAAUAGAAUUAUACAUUGAAAACAAAAGAAAGAAAACA